RNAcentral lists this vault RNA (99 nucleotides) under Sorex araneus (European shrew). RNAcentral describes it as "Vault RNA (ENSSARG00000016806.1)". It matches the Rfam family "Vault RNA". Rfam says of the family: This family of RNAs are found as part of the enigmatic vault ribonucleoprotein complex. The complex consists of a major vault protein (MVP), two minor vault proteins (VPARP and TEP1), and several small untranslated RNA molecules. The record is from RNAcentral. Lineage: Eukaryota; Metazoa; Chordata; Mammalia; Eulipotyphla; Soricidae.
GGACUGGCUUUAGCUCAGCGGUUACUUCAGCGGACCACGGACUUUGCUGUGUAACCGUCCUUGAUGGUUCGAGACCCGCGGGUGCUCUCCAGUCCUUUU